CCUACGGGAGGCAGCAGUGGGGAAUAUUGCGCAAUGGGCGAAAGCCUGACGCAGCGAAGCCGCGUGAGGGAUGAAGGUCUUCGGAUCGUAAACCUCUGUCAGCAGGGAAGAACGGUCACUGUGCUAAUCAGCAGUGAAUUGACGGUACCUGCAAAGGAAGCACCGGCUAACUCCGUGCCAGCAGCCGCGGUAAUACGGAGGGUGCGAGCGUUAAUCGGAAUUACUGGGCGUAAAGCGCUCGUAGGCGGUAUGUCAAGUCAAGGGGGAAAUCCCCGCGCUCAACGUGGGAACUGCCUUUGAAACUGGCAAACUGGAGUGUGUUAGAGGAUAGUGGAAUUCCAGGUGUAGGAGUGAAAUCCGUAGAUAUCUGGAGGAACAUCAGUGGCGAAGGCGACUAUCUGGCACAUAACUGACGCUGAGGAGCGAAAGCGUGGGUAGCAAACAGGAUUAGAUACCCCGGUAGUC
RNAcentral lists this ribosomal RNA (465 nucleotides) under uncultured bacterium. RNAcentral's name for it is "partial 16S ribosomal RNA". It matches the Rfam family "Bacterial small subunit ribosomal RNA", at positions 338 to 795 of the family's 1533-position model. The record is from RNAcentral.